RNAcentral lists this ribosomal RNA (496 nucleotides) under uncultured bacterium. RNAcentral describes it as "partial 16S ribosomal RNA". It matches the Rfam family "Bacterial small subunit ribosomal RNA", at positions 29 to 507 of the family's 1533-position model. The record is from RNAcentral.
AUGAACGCUGGCGGCGUGCCUAAUACCUGCAAGUCGAGCGAACAGACGAGGAGCUUGCUCCUCUGACGUUAGCGGCGGACGGGUGAGUAACACGUGGAUAACCUACCUAUAAGACUGGGAUAACUUCGGGAAACCGGAGCUAAUACCGGAUAAUAUAUUGAACCGCAUGGUUCAAUAGUGAAAGACGGUUUUGCUGUCACUUAUAGAUGGAUCCGCGCCGCAUUAGCUAGUUGGUAAGGUAACGGCUUACCAAGGCGACGAUGCGUAGCCGACCUGAGAGGGUGAUCAGCCACACUGGAACUGAGACACGGUCCAGACUCCUACGGGAGGCAGCAGUAGGGAAUCUUCCGCAAUGGGCGAAAGCCUGACGGAGCAACGCCGCGUGAGUGAUGAAGGUCUUCGGAUCGUAAAACUCUGUUAUUAGGGAAGAACAAAUGUGUAAGUAACUAUGCACGUCUUGACGGUACCUAAUCAGAAAGCCACGGCUAACUACGUG